This is a long non-coding RNA of Magnolia sinica, 269 nucleotides long. RefSeq lists it as uncharacterized. The transcript is spliced from 3 exons. NCBI's taxonomy places the organism in Eukaryota, Viridiplantae, Streptophyta, Magnoliopsida, Magnoliales, Magnoliaceae. The record is from RefSeq and is a predicted model, not a curated record.
UGUCAUUUUAUAAUUGGUUCCUUAUCCUGAAACUUAUGAUAUUAGUUUUGAUUAAGGAAAUCAUUAAUUUACAGCUUUGACUAUAUUGAACGUGAUUGCCGAGCUUGUGGCCUUGGUUGCAAUUUUGAAUUUCAGAGGUUAAUGGAAUGCAUGUGGGUGACAGAUGAUGAAAUAUGCUCUUGUGCCGAGGAGUAUCUUACAGUCCACAAACUGUUUACCACCCGGGCUGAUCUCUAUCAAACAGUAUAUACGCAUGCAAAAGUUAAGGU